RNAcentral lists this ribosomal RNA (497 nucleotides) under uncultured bacterium. RNAcentral describes it as "partial 16S ribosomal RNA". It matches the Rfam family "Bacterial small subunit ribosomal RNA", at positions 28 to 507 of the family's 1533-position model. The record is from RNAcentral.
GACGAACGCUGGCGGCGUGCCUAAUACAUGCAAGUUGAGCGCUGAAGGUUGGUACUUGUACCGACUGGAUGAGCAGCGAACGGGUGAGUAACGCGUGGGGAAUCUGCCUUUGAGCGGGGGACAACAUUUGGAAACGAAUGCUAAUACCGCAUAAAAACUUUAAACACAAGUUUUACGUUUGAAAGAUGCAAUUGCAUCACUCAAAGAUGAUCCCGCGUUGUAUUAGCUAGUUGGUGAGGGACAGGCUCACCAAGGCGAUGAUACAUAGCCGACCUGAGAGGGUGAUCGGCCACAUUGGGACUGGGACACGGCCCAAACUCCUACGGGAGGCAGCAGUAGGGAAUCGUCGGCAAUGGACGAAAGUCUGACCGAGCAACGCCGCGUGAGUGAAGAAGGUUUUCGGAUCGUAAAACUCUGUUGGUAGAGAAGAACGUUGGUGAGAGUGGAAAGCUCAUCAAGUGACGGUAACUACCCAGAAAGGGACGGCUAACUACGUG